GACAAGAUGGCCGAGCGGUUAAGGCGGUAGCCUGCUAUAGGCACAGCUGAACAAGUUGAUAAGCUAUUGGGUUCUGCCCGCGUGAGUUCGAAUCUCACUCUUGUCG
RNAcentral lists this transfer RNA (106 nucleotides) under Malassezia globosa. RNAcentral's name for it is "tRNA-Ser". It matches the Rfam family "tRNA". Rfam says of the family: Transfer RNA (tRNA) molecules are approximately 80 nucleotides in length. Their secondary structure includes four short double-helical elements and three loops (D, anti-codon, and T loops). Lineage: Eukaryota; Fungi; Basidiomycota; Malasseziomycetes; Malasseziales; Malasseziaceae. RNAcentral also lists the same sequence under 1 other name. The record is from RNAcentral.